AGACAGUUAACCGACUGACGGAAGUGGAAUUGACCACAGGGAAGUUAAUGCUAAGCAGAGCCGACCGUCUGGGCCAUGAAG
RNAcentral lists this non-coding RNA (81 nucleotides) under Holdemania filiformis. RNAcentral's name for it is "ZTP sequence". It matches the Rfam family "ZMP/ZTP riboswitch aptamer (pfl RNA motif)". Rfam says of the family: Previously known as pfl RNA. The record is from Rfam by way of RNAcentral. Lineage: Bacteria; Bacillati; Bacillota; Erysipelotrichia; Erysipelotrichales; Erysipelotrichaceae.